Molecule: long non-coding RNA, 635 nt
Filed under: Gallus gallus (chicken)
Lineage: Eukaryota; Metazoa; Chordata; Aves; Galliformes; Phasianidae
Description: long non-coding RNA NONGGAT002417
Source: RNAcentral
UGGGGGUGAAGGGCUCUUCAGAGAACCAGUCAAAAUCAGCUAUCGAUCUGCACUGCAUUCUAUAUCGUGACCUGAUACGCAUUUCUCCUAAGUUCUGUCGUGGCCUCACUGCGUGCUGCUGUCUGUGUGCUCACAGCGUGCAGCCCGAGCUCCUGCAGCCUGCUCAGCUCUGCCAGCACCGACGGGACGAAGGUCACCGGGCUCUGUUUGCUGUUUGGGUGUUUGCAGUUCACAAUUCCAACUUUCCUAAAACAAAAAGGAGUAACAAAAUAAAGGCGAAACUGAGGCGGGGGGGGCCUUUAGGAGUCAAUGGGAACUUUGCCACCAAUACAAACAUCACAAGGGCCGAAAGUUGAGCUCUCAGUUCUCCAAUGAGACCUCAAGGUUUUGUCGUGCCGUGGUGUGGGGAAGAUCCUUCCUUUCUUCAGCCAUUUAUGAGAACAAAAUACAGCAGCAGCAAUCAGGGUGCACCGCACACCCCGAGUGGUGGCAGCACUUUGCACAUCUGGAAACAGCCCCUCAGCUUCUGAUGCAGCAAAACACAUCCUGGUGUUGCCCUGAACUCUGCAAUGGCCACAGCGCACUGCUCCCACCUGCAGCUCUCUGGAGGGAUUCCUCCAUUAACUGCAGCUCCC